Non-coding RNA from Oncorhynchus mykiss (rainbow trout), 1839 nucleotides. NCBI's taxonomy places the organism in Eukaryota, Metazoa, Chordata, Actinopteri, Salmoniformes, Salmonidae. The record is from RefSeq and is a predicted model, not a curated record.
CUCUCUCCUCCCAUCUCUCUCUCUCCUCCCAUCUCUCUCUCUCUCUCCUCCCAUCUCUCUCUCUCUCCUCCCAUCUCUCUCUCUCUCCUCCCAUCUGUUCUCUCCCCCCCAUUUGGUAGUUCUGCUUAAAGCAGCACGUGAAGUAAACACUGAUACACACUUUCACCAACACACACAAAUGAAGAGUACCCUACACACACACAGUACAUAUCUCCAACCACAUAGUACCAAUAUACACAGUACAUAUCUCCCACCACACAGUACCAAUAUACACAGUACAUAUCUCCAACCACACAGUACCAAUAUACACAGUACAUAUCUCAACCACACAGUACCAAUAUACACAGUACAUAUCUCCAACCACACAGUAUCAAUAUACACAGUACAUAUCUCCAACCACACAGUACCAAUAUACACAGUACAUAUCUCCAACCACACAGUACCAAUAUACACAGUACAUAUCUCUUGCUCAUGUCUCUGUGCUCUCUGUUCCCUCUAGGACCGUUUCUAUUGGCUGUUUUCUGACCCCGCCCCUAACCACCCCCACUAAUAUUCUAUAUCGUGAUGAACUUUUCUUAGUGAUUAUCAGUUUCUCUGUAAACUAGCCAGAAUCUGGAAGGAAAAAAGUAAACAACAAAAAGAAAUCGAACUGUUUUAUUCAAUUGUACUUUAAACUGUGUUUUUUCUUACUAUUUUGAAUGUCUCUUCUAACCCUUCUAUCAAAGCGUUCGUUUUGAGAGGCUUCAGCCAACCAUAGAGAUGUAAACUGAAACCAAUAUAUGAUCUUUCCCCGUAUUUAAUAUUAUGCCAUCGAUCGUCUUUAAGACCACUUCGCCGUUGUUACUAAGUUAAGUAUCGCACGUCAAAACAUUUUAAAAUAAUCAUCGUCUCUGCACUACGUUGGUAUAUUCUGUUUAUCGUCCCUUAUAAAGAUUUAAUGGUCAACUCGUCAAGUGAAGCUGAACUUUGCACAGAGUUAGAAGUCUCACAUUACCACCCUGAGAACCAAAGUUCACCCCCCUCCCCCGUUUCCCUGCCAUGAUGGUAUGCCCCAAACCAAUGACCUAUCAAGAGAUUCUAUGAUGACGUCACAGCACGUGUGAUUGGUUUACCCCUAUAGAGUGGAGUUUUGUGAUGAGUAGAACAGAACUGUGUUGGAUGCUGUAGGACUGUUAUGUGUCAGUACAUGGAUGGAUGAAUAGCUACGCCGACUGACUGGUCCAGACAAGAUGAGCCUGCAGGGAAAAGAGACCAUGAGACAUUCCAAAUGGCACCCUGUUUCAGUCAUGUUUCAUUUCUGAGACUCUUAUGGUCCUCGUCACGAGUAGUGUUCUAGAAAGGGAACAGGAUGUCGUUUGGGAUGCUGCCAGGGAGAUGGCCAGUCAAUUCAGGUCACAUGGCCAGAUCACAUGGCCAGGUCACAUGAUUAUUUUAUGACAUCAUCCAGGUGUCAGUCUAAAUCUCUGUACUACUACAUCACCUUCUCAACCAACUAACAUGUAUACUACAGUACAUCAUGUAAACUAGCAGUAAUGUGAGUACAUCAUGUACUGUAAGCCACGCCCCCCUAAACAACAACAUCCGUAAAGGAUUCCUCUUCAUUAUUAUGAUUAUUGCUGUUAUGAUUAUUAUUGGUAUAAUUUGUCAUUGUUAGCUAAAUGGAAACACCAGAAUGUUGUUGUGGAGAGGACUUUUAUAUUCUUAUGGCUGUGGAGGAAGUGAUGUCAGAGGACAGGAACAGGAAGGAAGGAGAGGCGUGAUGAUGUAAAAUGGUCAUGUUUGUUGGGAAAUGACAUCCAGUGCUGAAAUAAAAUUUAUUCUUAUAGGAAAAAAAAUGAA